Molecule: long non-coding RNA, 232 nt
Filed under: Capsella rubella
Lineage: Eukaryota; Viridiplantae; Streptophyta; Magnoliopsida; Brassicales; Brassicaceae
Description: long non-coding RNA (CRUB_LNC003157)
Source: RNAcentral
AUUUGUGUGGACAUAAACUAUUUUCGCCGUUAUAUAUAUAUGAAAACGCCGAAUGUGAGGAAAAAUAAGAAGACAUAGGUGUUUGUACCCAAAUAAAUAUGAUAAAAAAAAAAAAAAAACAAGAUUGAUUCAUGAUUCUUUUGAUCUUAUUUGAUUCCUUUACAAAAUUGAUUGGGAAAAUUCCAUUAAAAUCCCUCAACUAAAUUACGAUAAGCUUUUUAAUACCCCAACU